Molecule: transfer RNA, 72 nt
Filed under: Chitinophaga varians
Lineage: Bacteria; Pseudomonadati; Bacteroidota; Chitinophagia; Chitinophagales; Chitinophagaceae
Also listed under: 2 other names
Description: tRNA-Ser
Rfam family: tRNA
About the family: Transfer RNA (tRNA) molecules are approximately 80 nucleotides in length. Their secondary structure includes four short double-helical elements and three loops (D, anti-codon, and T loops). Further hydrogen bonds mediate the characteristic L-shaped molecular structure. tRNAs have two regions of fundamental functional importance: the anti-codon, which is responsible for specific mRNA codon recognition, and the 3' end, to which the tRNAs corresponding amino acid is attached (by aminoacyl-tRNA synthetases). tRNAs cope with the degeneracy of the genetic code in two manners: having more than one tRNA (with a specific anti-codon) for a particular amino acid; and 'wobble' base-pairing, i.e. permitting non-standard base-pairing at the 3rd anti-codon position.
Source: RNAcentral
GGGGGAUAGUUUAAAAUGGAAAAACACCGGUGCUGCUCGCCCGGAGAUGCAGGUUCGAGCCCUACUCCUCCA